RNAcentral lists this ribosomal RNA (312 nucleotides) under Salmonella enterica subsp. enterica serovar Derby. Its description in RNAcentral is "partial 16S ribosomal RNA". It matches the Rfam family "Bacterial small subunit ribosomal RNA", at positions 659 to 970 of the family's 1533-position model. RNAcentral also lists the same sequence under 4 other names. Lineage: Bacteria; Pseudomonadati; Pseudomonadota; Gammaproteobacteria; Enterobacterales; Enterobacteriaceae. The record is from RNAcentral.
GGGUAGAAUUCCAGGUGUAGCGGUGAAAUGCGUAGAGAUCUGGAGGAAUACCGGUGGCGAAGGCGGCCCCCUGGACAAAGACUGACGCUCAGGUGCGAAAGCGUGGGGAGCAAACAGGAUUAGAUACCCUGGUAGUCCACGCCGUAAACGAUGUCUACUUGGAGGUUGUGCCCUUGAGGCGUGGCUUCCGGAGCUAACGCGUUAAGUAGACCGCCUGGGGAGUACGGCCGCAAGGUUAAAACUCAAAUGAAUUGACGGGGGCCCGCACAAGCGGUGGAGCAUGUGGUUUAAUUCGAUGCAACGCGAAGAACC